Molecule: ribosomal RNA, 494 nt
Filed under: uncultured bacterium
Lineage: Bacteria
Description: partial 16S ribosomal RNA
Rfam family: Bacterial small subunit ribosomal RNA
Source: RNAcentral
GACGAACGCUGGCGGCGUGCUUAACACAUGCAAGUCGAACGGUGAAGCGCCUUCCUUUUUGGUGGGUGUGGAUGAGUGGCGAACGGGUGAGUAACACGUGAGUAACCUGCCCCCUUCUUCUGGAUAACCGCAUGAAAGUGUGGCUAAUACGGGAUAUUCUGGGUCUGUCGCAUGAUGGGUCUGGGAAAGAUAUUGUUUCGGUGGGGGAUGGGCUCGCGGCUUAUCAGCUUGUUGGUGGGGUGAUGGCCUACCAAGGCGGUGACGGGUAGCCGGCCUGAGAGGGUGGACGGGCACACUGGGACUGAGACACGGCCCAGACUCCUACGGGAGGCAGCAGUGGGGAAUCUUGCACAAUAGGCGCAAGGCUGAUGCAGCGACGCCGCGUGAGGGAUGGAGGCCUUCGGGUUGUGAACCUCUUUCGCCAGUGAAGCAGGCCUGCCUCGUUUGUGGGUGGGUUGACGGUAGCUGGAUAAGAAGCGCCGGCUAACUACGUG